UAGGGAAUCUUCCGCAAUGGGCGCAAGCCUGACGGAGCAACGCCGCGUGAGUGAAGAAGGUUUUCGGAUCGUAAAGCUCUGUUGUAAGAGAAGAACAAAUUGGAGAGUAACUGCUCCAGUCUUGACGGUAUCUUACCAGAAAGCCACGGCUAACUACGUGCCAGCAGCCGCGGUAAUACGUAGGUGGCAAGCGUUGUCCGGAUUUAUUGGGCGUAAAGGGGGCGCAGGCGGUUUCUUAAGUCUGAUGUGAAAGCCCACGGCUUAACCGUGGAAGUGCAUUGGAAACUGGGGAACUUGAGUACAGAAGAGGAAAGUGGAACUCCAUGUGUAGCGGUGGAAUGCGUAGAUAUAUGGAAGAACACCAGUGGCGAAGGCGACUUUCUGGUCUGUCACUGACGCUGAGGCCCGAAAGCGUGGGUAGCAAACAGG
Molecule: ribosomal RNA, 429 nt
Filed under: uncultured Aerococcus sp.
Lineage: Bacteria; Bacillati; Bacillota; Bacilli; Lactobacillales; Aerococcaceae
Description: bacterial SSU rRNA
Rfam family: Bacterial small subunit ribosomal RNA
Source: RNAcentral